CAACUCUCUAACCCAGCUGGUCCUCAUAUUGCUUACGGAAGCAGUCUCCAGUUGGGAAGAAGUCCCAGCAUCUCUCCUGGUACAUCUUCCACACAUAUGACUCCUGGAGGAAGAAAGGAACAGAGUUCGUCAGCCCUUGCUGUCUCGUCCUUGUUAAUCAGGUACAUCAGGAAGAACCUGCACAUGGGAGCACAGGAGUGGUGUGACAGAAGUUCAUGUUGUAAAUCAGGCAACACUUCUUGGCUAAAAUUCUCUAGUUUCCACCCCACCCUGGCUGGAUCAGAGUCUUACCUCCAUGUCCUCCUUCACCUGCUCCUGCUGGUCUCUCAGCUCACCAAAGGCAUCAAUGAUCAAACCUGAAAGAGGGUGCAACACGAUAAAUGACUGUGUACCCUGAAUGAUGGCCAGCAGGAUGACGAUGACGAAGAAGAAGAAGGUGAUGUCAAACAGGAUGCGGUAGAGCUCAUAGGGGUCUCCAGCUGGGUCCUCCAGCUCGUCUCCGAUACCUCCUCCAGCUCUCACACCAACGUACAUGUGGAACAAGUAGCACUGUGAAGAGAGACGAGAUUAACAGAUGUCAGAUGUGGUGAGGCAUACCGUCAUCAUAUCAUCACACUUCAUGUCUGGCUCGUCCUCAUCCUCGCUCUUAUUGUAGAACUUCCUGAAGAAGUUAAAGGCCACCACAGUGUAGAGAUAGACGACCACAGCCAGCAGACCCACAGUCAGCACAAGCUGGAACGCAGAGAGAAGCCAUUAAAGUCAGGGAAAGUGGUUCACACAAGAGCUGCAAUAUUUUCAAAGGCCUCUCCAGCUGAAUCGAGGAUUUCAGGGCAGCUUUUAUCAGUAUUCAAUGACUCUUGAGACCUUCAGGAAAUCAAAUUCACGUCAUCCCAGAACGUCUUCACGCCCCAUCCAUGCACUGCAAUUUACUUUGUUAUUCUACAGUUUUAUAUAUGCUCCCUGUCUGUUGCAUUCACUGUCAGAAAGAUGGUCUAAGCCAGUUUUUUUAAUAGCAUUUUUACCAUUUAUUCACUACAUUUUGCUAUCUAUUUGAACGCUUUAUUCAUUUAUCAGUUUCAUCUAUUAAUGCAAAACAUUUAGAUAACUGUUAAAACUUCCCUACUUGUUUCCUACCUUACCUACUUAAGUCACAGCCUGUUGUGUUUCAGAUGUUGACUCAUCAUUUGGAUAUAUAUUUUUUACUUUUUUUAAAUUAGUUUACCUUUUUUACAAUCUCUCCAAGUACCCCUGGCAACUACAACAAAUGCCCCUCGGGACAUGAGUGUUACUGGUUUAAACUACUCUUUUGCCUCUUCUGACAUUUAUCACAACAUAACAACAGCACAAAUCCACAGAACUAGAUACAUGUUACUUCAAACUGUGAAUGACUCACUCUAUUACAGUGGCACAGCCUCUAGAAUAAAACUGAAAAUCCA
This is a long non-coding RNA of Lates calcarifer (barramundi perch), 1436 nucleotides long. RefSeq lists it as uncharacterized. The transcript is spliced from 6 exons. NCBI's taxonomy places the organism in Eukaryota, Metazoa, Chordata, Actinopteri, Centropomidae. The record is from RefSeq and is a predicted model, not a curated record.